CCUACCGAUUGAAUGGUCCGGCGAGAACUCAGGAUGGAUAUGGAUUUUGGACCCGUUAGGUGUUCCAACCAUAUCCAGAAUUUGUUCAAACCUUACCAUUUAGAGGAAGGAGAAGUCGUAACAAGGUU
This 128-nucleotide ribosomal RNA is filed under the name Leptomyxa reticulata. RNAcentral describes it as "partial small subunit ribosomal RNA". It matches the Rfam family "Eukaryotic small subunit ribosomal RNA", at positions 1681 to 1801 of the family's 1831-position model. Lineage: Eukaryota; Tubulinea; Elardia; Leptomyxida; Leptomyxidae. The record is from RNAcentral.